This 1354-nucleotide long non-coding RNA is filed under the name Homo sapiens (human). RNAcentral's name for it is "HSALNT0265561". Lineage: Eukaryota; Metazoa; Chordata; Mammalia; Primates; Hominidae. The record is from RNAcentral.
UAAAAACUUAGUUUUACAUACUAACACUGCCUUUUGUGUAUAUUUAAACAGAACAAAUGGUAAUUUAUUAUGUUCUCCAGAAACUGAUUUUGCAACAUUGCUAAACUAGCAGACUGGAGAGAUGCUCACAAUUCUCAGAUGAUAUGAGUGUUUCUCUGCAUGGGCAUCAGAGCUGCCACUGCUUGACAUUCCAAGAACUUCCCAGCUACAGGUUCAUCACCUUCUCCUCCCAGGAAAGACAUGUGAGAUUCUGCACAGAGACAGGAAUGUCGCUGGGGGAUGCCAGCUGCCAUAUUGUGAAGACCCUCAAGCAUCCCUGUGGAGAGGUCCCCAUGGCACAGAAAUGGACUCUCAGCCCAAAAGCCAACAAAGAACCAAGGCCUCAAGCCAGCAGCCAUGGGAAUGGGAAUGUGCCAUCUUGGAAGCCAAUCCUGCAGCCCCAGUCAAGCCUUCAGAUGACAGUAGCCCCAGCCAAUAUCUUCACUGGAUCUUACUGAGAGACUAUGUGCCAGCAUGACCCUACUAAACAACUCUCAAAUUUCUGACCCUCAGAAAUUGUGUGAGAUAAUAAUUGUUUUUUGUUUUAAUAUGCUAAGCUUUAGGUUUGUUUGUUACUCCAAAUUAGACAACUAAUUCAGAAUGCAAUAUAUACACUCAGCCAGGUCAACUCCUCUGCUUCUUGAUGCCUGGGGAGAGUGGAGAGAGUGAUGGAUCCCCAUUAUUAUUGCACCCAGGGUACACUGGUCUGGGUUUAGAAUGUCUUGUGCUUUUUCAACCUUCUGUUCCCACAUUUCUCAGUAGUAUGUAUAUUAAACUCUCUUCAGUAACCCACUUUGAGUCUGCCAUUUUUUCCUGUUAGGUUCCCACCUGAAGUGGCUGCCAUGUAACAUCUACACAAACUCCAGCAAGUGGUGGUGGUAUCACCUGUGCUGUGAAUACCUCCCAGUGCAACCAUGCCUAUCACAUUGGAUGAUGCCAUUCAGAGCUGCUAGUGUCAGCAAAGCCAGGCUCCAGUGUCACCAGGGUGGUUUGCCUGCAUCACAGGUUCUUCGCCGACAUCACCAAUGGCUGUGCUGCCCAGGCUUUGCUCUCUCCAGUGCUCCUUUGAUAUUUGCGCGCCCCCCACCUCCUCCUAGGACUCAGAAGUAAGUCAUGUGAGAUGUGCGGGAAAGGAGCCAAGAGAAGGGCAAUUAGAAUCACCCUGAAGCAAAUUUGUCUUUCCAGGAUGUCCUGCCCAGGGCUUUACUGGGGUCUCACAUGAAUAGCUCUUGGCAGUGCCCCAGUGCACUAGAAAUGCUUAUAAAUUCCUGAAUCCCAAUGUGAACAGAGUUUGGGUCAGUCUGGACCCUUGCUU